GGAAUGGGUGGCUGGGAUCUA
This 21-nucleotide microRNA is filed under the name Vitis vinifera (wine grape). Its description in RNAcentral is "vvi-miR3633b-5p". Lineage: Eukaryota; Viridiplantae; Streptophyta; Magnoliopsida; Vitales; Vitaceae. The record is from miRBase by way of RNAcentral.